GAUGAACGCUGGCGGCGUGCCUAAUACAUGCAAGUCGAGCGAACGGACGAGAAGCUUGCUUCUCUGAUGUUAGCGGCGGACGGGUGAGUAACACGUGGAUAACCUACCUAUAAGACUGGGAUAACUUCGGGAAACCGGAGCUAAUACCGGAUAAUAUUUUGAACCGCAUGGUUCAAAAGUGAAAGACGGUCUUGCUGUCACUUAUCGAUGGAUCCGCGCUGCAUUAGCUAGUUGGUAAGGUAACGGCUUACCAAGGCAACGAUGCAUAGCCGACCUGAGAGGGUGAUCGGCCACACUGGAACUGAGACACGGUCCAGACUCCUACGGGAGACAGCAGUAGGGAAUCUUCCGCAAUGGGCGAAAGCCUGACGGAGCAACGCCGCGUGAGUGAUGAAGGUCUUCGGAUCGUAAAACUCUGUUAUUAGGGAAGAACAUAUGUGUAAGUAACUGUGCACAUCUUGACGGUACCUAAUCAGAAAGCCACGGCUAACUACGUG
Molecule: ribosomal RNA, 497 nt
Filed under: uncultured bacterium
Lineage: Bacteria
Description: partial 16S ribosomal RNA
Rfam family: Bacterial small subunit ribosomal RNA
Source: RNAcentral